Long non-coding RNA from Mirounga angustirostris (Northern elephant seal), 5219 nucleotides. RefSeq lists it as uncharacterized. The record is from RefSeq and is a predicted model, not a curated record. The transcript has 3 exons. Lineage: Eukaryota; Metazoa; Chordata; Mammalia; Carnivora; Phocidae.
CAGGAAUCUCUUGCCGUUGAGACAGGCAUUCUCCCCGUCUGAGGAGUCCGGGUUGUGAAGCUGGAGACGAUGUUCUGAUUGUCUGUAGUGUGUUCCGUGGAGGAAGCAUAAAGAAGAGUAUCCGAACACUUCGAUGAGUGGGGGGACUCAAGGAGAUUGCAAAUAAACUCAGCACGUGCACUCUUCCCAGGAGGAGUGGGUUAUCAGUCCCUUGGGACCUCAAAUGCUGAGCCCAGGGCUCUAACAGCCUCUGUGAUUUCCCAGAGGUCCAAUGGGGAGGCCAUCUUCCCUGCUGAGUCCCCCCCAAGAGGCACAGGGAACUGCCAUUUCAGCAAUGGGAAAUUGAUUUUUAUGACAACUUCAGCAAUAAGUGAAUAAAUGAAUAAGCCAGAACUAUCCACACUUGAAAAACAGUUUUUGGAGUUAAGAUGGUGAAAUCAAUAUCCGAACUCUUAGGCAUGUGUGUGUAUAUACAUAAUAUGCACAUAAUAUACAAACACAUAAUGUGUGUGUGUUUGAGAGAGAGGGAGAGAGAAACAGAGCGAGAAGACAGAGAAAGACUGCCAGAGAGACAGAGACAGAGACAGAGAGAAUGAGACGGUUGGGUGGGGCUGGGGGGUAGAGGGAAGAACAAACCACUCCUUGGAGCAGACCCCAUUUGAAUGUGCCCCUCAUCUGCUGGGAGAAUGGAUAGAGGAUGGAGUUGCCAAGGUCAAGGCUAUUCAUCUACUGGCCCCAAUAGCCCCUCAGAGACCUCCUGGGAAGACCCUCCCCCUCAAAACCCAUUGAUAGGAAUGCCUGCAGCUUGUUGCCUCGUCUGAGCCAGGAUGCUGUCCAGAGCUGUCCAGAGCCACACGUCAUGGCUUUGUAGGCCCACUAGCAAAUUAGGUGCCCAACCUGGACCCUGACCUGUCUUCUCUGGGCCUGGCCUCAAAGAGAUUCUUUGUUUAUUGAGUACCUGGUCUACCAGAUGCUGGGAACACCAUGGGGACAUAGAGCUACAAUCUCAGAUCAACGCGUAAAAACCGAUUCAAUCGAUAAUAAAGGCAAACUAAUUUUUGUGUGCGGGAGAACUACAUUCUGAGUUCCAGCUUGGGCUACCUGGAAAAUAGCAUUCCUUGCCUUGGCAAUAGCAAUUGGAACUCCCACCUGGUCCCUGAGCAACUGCAACAAAAGAAAGAAGUGCAGAAACCAGUAUCUGCGUGUACCGACUGUUUGUCUGGUGGUGCUAACACUUUACAUCCAUCUAUGGGGUACGGCUCUGUGAGACAGACACAAUUGCUCUCAUUUUACCGGUAGAGAAUCCAACUCUCCCAAGCUACGUCAAGUCGCUUAAGGUCAGACGGUUAGCGACUAAGCUAGAAUUUGAGCCCAGGCUGCUGACACCAAAGUCCAUGUUGCUUCUUCUGCUCAUCAGCUGACUGCCUCAGUUUGGACUUUGGCCCCGAAAGAUGGGGCAGCUUGGAAGGUGAGGACUGAAGGUACCUUUCCAGGGCUUCUGACCAUGGUUGGCCAUGGGGCCACAGGGAAGUAGAGCGUGUAGAUGCAUAGAUGAUUCCUCUGUCGAAAUCCAGCUCUGACAACACCAGCCUCUUCCCCUGACGUGGCUUGUGGCUGUUACGUGCCCUGCUGCCUACCCUGGAAUCCUCAAGACUGACAAUAUAUUCAAGUUCCCAAGACUCAACUGGAGCUCAGAACCCUUUCCUUUCACCGUGUUUUCUGAGGGAGCUGCUGCUGGAGACAAGCAGGAGGAAGCCAGAGCGUGAGUAAUGAAAGAGUUGCUUAUGUAAUAGGAAACCACCCAGUCUGGACCACAGGGACCUGUCUCGGAGUCAGGGAGACCGAAUUCCAGAGUUCUGUUCCAAGAUCUACCAUGCUUGGACCUGUCCCCUUGAGCAAAUCACCCACACCUUCUCCCAUUUUCCCCCAUGUAACCUUGAUGGGGGAGGGGGAGAUACCCUUCCUCCCAUUUCCCACUGAGAGGCCCCCAGGAAUGCCUGCACGGGGAGCUGUGUGACAAUUUGAGAGACAUUCUUUUCUUUCUAACCCCCAGCCCAAGCCUCUCACCUCCAGAUGCUAACUUUUCCACGGCACUCCACAGGGGUGGUGGCCCCAUUUGUCUCUCAAGUGUCUUUAGACUUAUUUGAUGUGCCUAAGAUGUCUUCUCCCCCAGGGGCCCCGUAAGGGUUAUCAUGGCUUCUAAUUAUCAAGCUGUGUGCAAAGGAACACCAGCGGCUGCUCUGACUUAAAAUGGAAUGAGUCUCGACCUGGAUACCUGUUUUCUAGUUACCACUUCUGUCACUAAUGAGAUCUCUGUCUUGGGAAAGUCACUUACAUCUCUGGAACUCAGCUUCUUCAUUUGUAACAGAAGGGGAUCAAGCCGGCUGUCUCUGAGAGUCUUUGCAGUUCCCUGGUUUUGAUCCCCUUACCUAGGAAUUGCAAUCAUCUUCUACAGGGACUCUCCCCUUCCUGAAAGGUCGCCUUACACCACUUCGCUUUUACGAAAAGACAUAGAAUAAUGGUACCUGCUUUCGCUCACUGAAAGAAAUCCAAAGAGUAUUUCUGCUUUCAUGACAGAGGGUGAAAAGCAAAAAUAGUAUUCGGGGUGCGUUUGUCCCAAAGAGGCAAGGUGCACACCCUCUCCCCCAAAUGGUGAGAAUGGCCCCAUGAGAGCUUUGAACUGUGUCUGUGAGCAGCUGUGCUUGAUCUUGAUUUAUUUCGUGCAUCCAUUUGCAAGAUGCGCCCUAAGAUAUCAGAAAGGCUCGAGAGAGGUUAUUUUGGGGGUCUGCAACAGUUAAAAAUUUUCCCAUAUAAAUUAAUGGUAAUUGGUUCUUCACUUUGUAUCAUUUUGAUUUAGGAAUGGUUUCAUAGGAACGCUCUGCUUUUGGGUAGCAGGAGAACCCUUACUUCCUUUUAUUUCAUAACUUUAGGAAUGACAAGACUCCAUGGGUUGAUCGGAAUGGACACACAGAAACAUGCACACAAACCCAGGCCCUUCCCCAGUCAUGCACCUACUUAGUCCCCUAGUGUCAGGUUGUGAGAAGCACCAUUCCAACCACUGCCACCAGAUGUCUUAAACUCGAGCUGCUGCCCAUCGCCUGCCCUGACACCUGCUCCCCAGGACCUUUGCCCCCAUCCAGUUCCUGGAGAGUUUCUUCCGCACAGCAGGUGGCUGCCCACCAGCCAGCCACUCUCUGAAGUUAGAGGGCGAAGCUGGAAGGGGAGACUCGCUCCUUGCCCAGCCACCCGCAUCCCAGCCUCAGGACAGCUUUGCUCUGCUCCCCACGCCCUGCGUGGGUUGGCUCCUGUUGCUAGGAGAACCUGACCAUUUGCAUUUCCUGCUGUUUUUAUUUUAGAUUAGCAGCCGCACUGCUGCAGGAACACAGGGUAUUUUAAGAAAGACAGAAAAGGGAAUGGUGAGGGGAGCACCUAGCAUGGGACCUCCUUCCCAAAGGCCUCCCAGGCACCCAGACCAAGGGGGACCCAUCCCAGACCCCGGCCCCACCCAGGCCUGUUGUUUCCUCGCCCCUGAACAGCACCAUUCCCCAGUCCUGGCAUCUUCAUGAGCAUCAACCUGCAAGCCACACAGGAACAGAACCACGGUCUUCUUCCAGAAAAAGAUUGAGGCUUGUACUCAACCUAACACACACAGAGCACCAGUUUCCCCGUUUUCAAACAAACAAAUAAAAACACUUCUACAUUCCCAUAGAGAUCUCCAACUCUGUCAAAACACUUCAUCUCCAAAGAUGGCUCGUAUUUCCUCCUUUCCCUUGCCCCUCUCUCUAGGCCUGCCUUAAAGAUGGAGGCUUGGCUUGUCCUUCAAGGCCUCCCAGAAAUCAGUGUUACCAAUCUCUUUUAGGGUUCCUGACCCCAAUUCCAAUGGUGGGGGUUGGGGAGAGGUCCCCCACACACUACACCAAGCAAUUCUCAGAGAACCUGCUGGUGUCCAAGAAUUCAAUUCUGACACUAACUACCCAGAGAUAACAUCAGGUGAUCCUGUGGUUAAGGGCUCAGUCCUACAGGACUGCCCCUCAUGCCCCAUGUCAGAUGCCCGUCACAAGCCCCGGGCUGUCACCUUUGCUUCUGACCAACCAGCUACAGAUUGGAGGCUCCAACGGCCUCCUCCUUAGAUUUGAUGAAUUUGCCAGAGCAGCUCACAGAACUCCUGGAAACACUUACAUCUACCAGAGUAUUAAAGGAUGUGAUAAAGGAUGCAAAUCAGCAGCCAAAUUCAGAGAUGCAUAGAGUGAGGUCCUGAACAAAGGAACUCUGUCCUCAUGGAGCUUGGGGCCCUACUCUGUUGCACGUGGAAGCAUUCUGGUUUCCCAAGCAUGGAAGCUCCCCUAAAAAGAACCCAAACACUGUCCUCUUGGGUUUUUAUGGAUGCUUCAUUACAUAGUCAUGAUUGUCUAAGUAUUGCCUAUUGGCUGAUUCCAACUCCAGCCCCUCUCCACUCUCAGAGGUUGGAGGAGGGAGACUGAAAGUUCCAACCCUUUAAUCACAAGGUUGGUCCUCCUGGCAACCAGCCCCCACCCUUGGGUGGGGUCCAAAAGUUACCUGCAUUAAUAACAAGAUACCCAGUUCACCUUCAUGGCUCUGAAAUGUUUUCAGAAACUGUGGAUAAAGACCAAAUAUAUCUGAUAAAUACAUUUCGGUCAUCUGAAUGAUGAAUAGAUAUGUAUCUUAUCUUAUAUCUAUAUCUUAUCUUAUCUUAUAUCUAUAUCUUACCUUAUAAAUCAUUAUAUUGAACCUUCCCAGACCCAUUUGUUCAAUUAAUCUCUCCCUCCCGGUUCUAAAAAUACCUGCAUCUUCUCACCAUUACUUUUGUUUCAGAUCAGGAAUCUAUUCUUCUGUCUCACCCACUAGACUAUUGAACACCCAGAAGCCAGUAUUUUUGCAAUUUGUUUAAUCCCCGUCUUACUGCUAGAAUAUUUGCUCACAAUAUACGCUCGUUAACACUUUUAAAAUUUGUUCAUCCCCAUCAAACAGUUAUUGAGCCCUACCAAGACUUGCACACCAUAAGUAAUCAUGAAACAUUCUCUAUCAUUUAGGAGCUCUUGGCCCAGUGGAGGAAGACAAAUAAACAAUUUUAAACAAUGUGAUGAAUGUUGUAAUAAAGAUAGGUCCAGAAUUGCAAGAAGUUUCCUGAGGCAGGGGUGAGGGUGGGGUGGCAUAUGAACAAGAGGAAUCAGGAACGGUUUCAUGGAGCUAACUCUUGA